UGUGCCUUCGGGAACCGUGAGACAGGUGCUGCAUGGCUGUCGUCAGCUCGUGUUGUGAAAUGUUGGGUUAAGUCCCGCAACGAGCGCAACCCUUAUCCUUUGUUGCCAGCGGUUAGGCCGGGAACUCAAAGGAGACUGCCAGUGAUAAACUGGAGGAAGGUGGGGAUGACGUCAAGUCAUCAUGGCCCUUACGACCAGGGCUACACACGUGCUACAAUGGCGCAUA
This 226-nucleotide ribosomal RNA is filed under the name Salmonella enterica. Its description in RNAcentral is "partial 16S ribosomal RNA". It matches the Rfam family "Bacterial small subunit ribosomal RNA", at positions 1013 to 1239 of the family's 1533-position model. Lineage: Bacteria; Pseudomonadati; Pseudomonadota; Gammaproteobacteria; Enterobacterales; Enterobacteriaceae. The record is from RNAcentral. RNAcentral also lists the same sequence under 5 other names.